CUCAUUUUGUUUUUCAUUUUUUAUUUUUUGUUUUUUUUCUUGCUUUCCUGAAUUCUAAGGUGAGAUUCGUUUGGUGAAGGAGGAUUUGGUAUUGUUGAGUAGAGAUUUGCUGUUCCUUCUUCUUCAGAGCAUCGAAUCCGUGAGAUCUACAACGGAAAGUUGGUUAGAAAUUAUUUGUUUUGCAUUUAUUAUUGUCGUUUUGGAGCGAGAUGGUUACCGAAUCGUGGUUUAGUAGUUUGUGGAGGACGUCGAGGAAGACUGCAUCAGAACCUCAAAAGGCUGUAAUUGGGGUAUUGACAUUUGAAGUUGCAAGCUUGAUGUCAAAGGUGGUUCAUCUAUGGCAGUGUUUAAGCGAUAAGCAUAUUGUUGGGCUGAGGGACGAGAUUAUGAAUUCGGUUGGGGUUAGGAAGCUGGUGUCGGAUGAUGACGAAUAUCUUGUUGAGUUGGUCUGUGUAGAAAUAGUUCAUAAUUUGGGAUUCCUAGCUAGAUCUGUUGCCAGGCUUGGAAAGAAGUGUACUGACCCUGUCUUGCAGCGCUUUGAGAAUGUCUUUGAUGACCUGGUCAAGAAUGAUGCUGAUAUUUAUGGCUGGGAAUUCACGUUGAAGAAGAUGGAGAGGAAGGUUAAGAAAAUGGAGAAGUUCAUUGCACUUGGCUCAAAUUUAUAUCAGGAGCUGGAAGUUCUUGCUGAACUGGAACAGACCCUGAGGAGAAUGCAGGCCAGUGAGGAGCCUAAUAAGUUGAACUUGCUUGAGUUUCAACAGAAGGUUGGGUGGCAGCGGCAGGAAGUGAAGACUCUUAGAGAGAUUUCUCUCUGGAACAGGACCUAUGAUUACACUGUUCGCCUUCUUGCAAGGUCACUUUUCACGAUAUAUGGGAGGAUCAAAUGUGUCUUUGAUAUUAAUCAGACAGUAGCAGUGGAUGGAAUUAAUCGCCCCAAACUUGGAAAUACUGAUAGUCUUUCUCGCAGCCACUCCAUUGCUGCCUUGUUGCAAUCAUCAGUUCACCCAUCAGAGAUUAAUAAAGCCAGAUUUGCUUCAGGUCCUCUACAUAAGCUAAUUACUAAAUCAGGGCCUAUUUAUGGCAUAAAUAAGUCAAACAACCGGCAACAGCAAGCUGUUGAUCAUUCAUCUAACCUUAAUCACAAGAUCACACACCAGAAAACAAGGAGGUUGGCUCCUGUGGGACCAUUUAAGGGAUGCAUGAUGGCUGGAAAUGUUUCUCCUGUGGUGCAAAGCUGCAGACCUGUAAAUAGUGGCUACCUAAGGUCAAAUGGUGUUCAUUCAGGACUUCUUACCAGAACGAAUGCUACUGAUGGAGAACUGCCUAGUCAUGGAAAUACACUUCACUGUUAUCUGACCCUCUUCAGUUCUAAGCAUAGCUCAUUAAAUGCUCCUCCAUCAACUCUUGGUGCCUCUGCAUUAGCACUCCAUUAUGCCAAUAUUGUUAUUGUAAUUGAGAAGCUUGUGGCUUCUCCUCAUUUGAUUGGUCCUGAUGCCAGAGAUGAUCUUUACAAUAUGUUACCAACAUGUAUAAGAGCAGCCUUAAGGUCAAGGCUAAAGUCAUAUGCUAAGAGCUUGGCUUCUUUUUGUGAUGGUGUUCUUGCAGAAGAGUGGAAGGACGCAUUGGCAAGGAUUUUAGAAUGGUUGGCUCCACUUGCUCAUAACAUGAUAAGAUGGCAAUCUGAACGAAAUUUCGAGCAGCAGCACUUAGUUUCCAGGGCAAAUGUUCUUUUGGUACAGACACUCUACUUUGCAAACCAGGCAAAGACAGAAGCCGCGAUUACAGAGCUUCUUGUAGGUCUGAAUUACAUUUGGAGAUAUGGAAGGGAACUUAAUGCAAAAGCUUUACUGGAGUGUGCUAGCAGCCGAACCUUUGAUGAUUAUUUAGAUCUGAAGGGAUAACAAUAUUUCAGCCCUAGCCUUCGGUUGGUUUCCAACAUAUUUCUGGGUGCCUCAUAAGAUGACAAGUUAGUUAUUUCACAAAUUCUGUUUGGAUAGAAAUCUUAGCAACAUUUGGUCUGUGAAGAGGUACUCUGUCUUUGGAUGCUGUUUGGCAAGUACUGAUUUUUUGCUGGGAUGAGUACGGAGCAAAAUUCUUGAUUCUUCUGGAUGCCUUAGCAUCAAGAAGUCAUUCGUCCAGCAGUUAAGAGAUGGCAUGGAUGAUGGAGAAUAUUUGAAAAUCUUGAGCUGUAUCCAAAAAGAUGGUGUUGCCUUGCAGUUGUGUUUUGGGAAAGGUUCGAAAUUUUGAUAUUGGGCUGUAUCGGCCAGUAAGUAUUAUAUCAGGGGCUUUCUGGUACAGUGUUUUGGGGUUUAACCCGGUUUAGGGGUAUACAAGCCUUAAACCGAUCCUUCUGAAUCAGGUUUUAAAAAAACUAAAAAAAAAAAAGAGAGAGAGAGAAAUGAGCUUCGAUACAGGCCAAUACGUCCCUACCAGCAUAUCGAUUGUAUCGAUAUUUUGAACCUUAGUUUUGGGUUUAUCAAUACAAUUUUGUGAGAAAAAUGCAUUGCCAUGUCAUAUAUGAAUGCCAUUUCAACUAGAAAAAUGCAUUCAUUAAAAACAUCGAAGUUUACUUUUGGAUAGAAAUAGCAAACAAUUAAGUCAAAACAUUUGAGUAAAAAAAUCUCUCACACAAAUUUGUAUUGAUCAACCCAAGUCCCAAAAUGCAAUCACGAUGCAAUGCCACUGUACCAAACACCUCCAAAGUUUAUAGUUUCUGUCAUACACGAUGAGCCUUCUUAUUUGUACCAUUUUACAUGUAAAAUGAAGAGAUUCCCAUGGAUUAUGCAAGUA
Nelumbo nucifera (sacred lotus) is the source of this 2790-nucleotide non-coding RNA. The record is from RefSeq and is a predicted model, not a curated record. NCBI's taxonomy places the organism in Eukaryota, Viridiplantae, Streptophyta, Magnoliopsida, Proteales, Nelumbonaceae.